GUCGAGAAUAAUUCACAAUGGACGAAAGUCUGAUGGUGCAACGCCGCGUGGAGGAUGACGGUCUUCGGAUUGUAAACUCCUGUCAUCCGGGAGUAAGACCUGGCUGUGAAUAGCCGGCAGGGUUGAUAGUAUCGGAAGAGGAAGGGACGGCUAACUUCGUGCCAGCAGCCGCGGUAAUACGAAGGUCCCAAGCGUUGUUCGGAAUCACUGGGCGUAAAGGGAGCGUAGGCUGCGCGGUAAGUCAGGUGUGAAAUCCCGGGGCUCAACCCCGGAACUGCACCCGAUACUGCCGUGCUAGAGGGUUGGAGAGGUGACUGGAAUUCUCGGUGUAGCAGUGAAAUGCGUGGAUAUCGAGAGGAACACUCGUGGCGAAGGCGAGUCACUGGACAACAUCUGACGCUGAGGCUCGAAGGCCAGGGGAGCAAAAGGGAUUAGAAACCUCGGUAGUCC
Molecule: ribosomal RNA, 450 nt
Filed under: uncultured bacterium
Lineage: Bacteria
Description: partial 16S ribosomal RNA
Rfam family: Bacterial small subunit ribosomal RNA
Source: RNAcentral